RNAcentral lists this ribosomal RNA (327 nucleotides) under uncultured eukaryote. RNAcentral's name for it is "partial 18S ribosomal RNA". It matches the Rfam family "Eukaryotic small subunit ribosomal RNA", at positions 1470 to 1796 of the family's 1831-position model. The record is from RNAcentral.
CCCUUAGAUGAUUUGGGCUGCACGCGCGCUACACUGACCCUAACAAUGAGCAACUGUCUGGCCUGAGAUGGCUGGGUAGCCUUUUCAACCCAUGUCAUGAUUGGGCUAGAUUUUUGUAAGUCUUGAUCUCUAACGAGGAAUCCCUAGUAUGCGUGAAUCAUCAAUCCAUGCAGAUUAUGUCCCUGCCCUUUGUACACACCGCCCGUCGCUCCUACCGAUUGAGUGAUCCGGUGAGGCUCUGGGACCUGGACGGAAAGAGCGUUUCGCUUGUUCUGUUUGGGAAACUUGGUCGAACCUUAUCAUUUAGAGGAAGGAGAAGUCGUAACA